CCUACGGGGCGCUGCAGUGGGGAAUAUUGGACAAUGGGCGAAAGCCUGAUCCAGCCAUGCCGCGUGUGUGAAGAAGGCCUUCGGGUUGUAAAGCACUUUCAGUGGGGAAGAAAGCCUUGGGGCUAAUACCCUCGAGGAAGGACAUCACCCACAGAAGAAGCACCGGCUAACUCCGUGCCAGCAGCCGCGGUAAUACGGAGGGUGCGAGCGUUAAUCGGAAUUACUGGGCGUAAAGCGCGCGUAGGCGGUCUGAUAAGCCGGUUGUGAAAGCCCCGGGCUCAACCUGGGAACGGCAUCCGGAACUGUCAGGCUAGAGGGCAGGAGAGGGAGGUAAAAUUCCCGGUGGAGCGGGGAAAUGCGUAGAGAUCGGGAGGAAUACCAGGGGCGAAGGCGGCCUUCUGGACUGACACUGACGCUGAGGUGCGAAAGCGUGGGUAGCAAACAGGAUUAGAUACCCCAGUAGUC
RNAcentral lists this ribosomal RNA (465 nucleotides) under Vreelandella stevensii. Its description in RNAcentral is "partial 16S ribosomal RNA". It matches the Rfam family "Bacterial small subunit ribosomal RNA", at positions 338 to 795 of the family's 1533-position model. Lineage: Bacteria; Pseudomonadati; Pseudomonadota; Gammaproteobacteria; Oceanospirillales; Halomonadaceae. The record is from RNAcentral.